RNAcentral lists this ribosomal RNA (338 nucleotides) under Hanseniella n. sp. GG-2000. Its description in RNAcentral is "eukaryotic LSU rRNA". It matches the Rfam family "Eukaryotic large subunit ribosomal RNA", at positions 666 to 946 of the family's 3401-position model. Lineage: Eukaryota; Metazoa; Arthropoda; Symphyla; Scutigerellidae. The record is from RNAcentral.
CCAAGGAGUCUAACCUGUGCGCGAGUCGUGGGGCAAGGUUGAGAAGCCCUCUUUCCACGGCGCAGUGAAAGCGAGAGGAACGGUUUCCGUUCCGCAGCCCGCGCGAUCCCGGCCGAGCCCCCUUAAAAGGGCGGAGCUGGGCGCAGCGCGGACCCGUGCCAGUCGCUUCUUGCCGACGGCACGGAGUUGGAGCGUACACGUUGGGACCCGAAAGAUGGUGAUCUAUGCCAGGGCAGGGCGAAGCCAGAGGAAACUCUGGUGGAAGCCCGCCGCGAUUCUGACGUGCAAAUCGAUCGUCUGACCUUGGCAUAGGGGCGAAAGACUAAUCGAACCAUCUA